GGUGAGGUAACGGCUCACCAAGGCUUACGGGUACCGGGUCUGAGAGGAUGAUCCGGCACACUGCGACUGAGACACUGCCCAGACUCCUACGGGAGGCUGCAGUCGAGAAUCAUUGUCAAUGCACGAAAGUGUGAACAUGCGACGCCGCGUGGAGGAAGACGGCCUUCGGGUUGUAAACUCCUGUCAGCAGGGAGUAAGGAUGGUCCGGUUAAUAACCUGGCCAUUUGAUAGUACCUGCAGAGGAAGUCACGGCUAACUCUGUGCCAGCAGCCGCGGUAAUACAGAGGUGGCGAACGUUGUUCGGAUUUACUGGGCGUAAAGGGUCCGCAGGCGGCUCGGUGUGUCAGAUGUGAAAGCCCACGGCUUAACCGUGGAAUUGCAUUUGAAACUGCCGGGCUAGAGUACUGGAGGGGAGAAGGGAACACUUGGUGUAGCGGUGAAAUGCGUAGAUAUCAAGUGGAACACCGGUGGCGAAGGCGCUUCUCUGGACAGAUACUGACGCUCAUGGACGAAAGUUAGGGUAGCGAAAGGGAUUAGAUACCCCUGUAGUCCUAACCGUAAACGGUGUGCACUAGACGUGGGAGGCUUUACCCCCUUCCGUGUCUGAGCUAACGCAUUAAGUGCACCGCCUGGGGAGUACGGUCGCAAGAUUAAAACUCAAAGGAAUUGACGGGGACCCGCACAAGCGGUGGAGCAUGUGGCUUAAUUCGAUGCAACGCGAAGAACCUUACCUGGACUUGACAUAUAGCUGCAUACGACCUGAAAGGGACGUAGCCUUCGAGGGUGCUAUACAGGUGCUGCAUGGCUGUCGUCAGCUCGUGCCGUGAGGUGUUGGGUUAAGUCCCGCAACGAGCGCAACCCCUGUGUUUAGUUGCCAGCACGUAAUGGUGGGAACUCUAAACAGACUGCUGGUGAAAACCAGAGGAAGGUGGGGAUGACGUCAAGUCAGUAUGGUCCUUAUGUCCAGGGCUGCACACGUGCUACAAUGGGAUGUACAAUGGGAAGCUAAGCCGCGAGGUGGAGCAAAUCCUCAAAACAUCCCCCAGUUCGGAUUGUAGUCUGAAACUCGACUACAUGAAGUUGGAAUCGCUAGUAAAGGCGUAUCAGCUACGACGCCUUGAAUACGUUCCCGGGUCUUGUACACACCGCCCGUCACAUCAUGGAAGUCUGUUGCACCCGAAGUCGUUGAUCUAACCUCUCACGAGGAUGAAGGCGCCGAAGGUGUGAUAGGUAACUGGGAUGAAGUCGUAACAAGGUA
Molecule: ribosomal RNA, 1258 nt
Filed under: metagenome
Description: bacterial SSU rRNA
Rfam family: Bacterial small subunit ribosomal RNA
Source: RNAcentral